RNAcentral lists this ribosomal RNA (377 nucleotides) under uncultured bacterium. RNAcentral describes it as "bacterial SSU rRNA". It matches the Rfam family "Bacterial small subunit ribosomal RNA", at positions 523 to 898 of the family's 1533-position model. The record is from RNAcentral.
AGACGAACCGUCCAAACGUUAUUCGGAAUCACUGGGCUUAAAGGGUGCGUAGGCGGCGCGGGAAGUUGGGUGUGAAACCCCUCGGCUCAACCGAGGAACUGCGCCCAAAACUCCCGUGCUUGAGGGAGACAGAGGUGAGCGGAACUUAGGGUGGAGCGGUGAAAUGCGUUGAUAUCCUAAGGAACACCAGUGGCGAAAGCGGCUCACUGGGUCUUUUCUGACGCUGAGGCACGAAAGCUAGGGGAGCGAACGGGAUUAGAUACCCCGGUAGUCCUAGCUGUAAACGUUGAGCACUGGGCCGGAGAGUCCUCCAUAGCUUUCCGGCCGUAGCGAAAGUGUUAAGUGCUCCGCCUGGGGAGUAUGGUCGCAAGGCUGAA